This is a non-coding RNA of Duganella sacchari, 82 nucleotides long. NCBI's taxonomy places the organism in Bacteria, Pseudomonadati, Pseudomonadota, Betaproteobacteria, Burkholderiales, Oxalobacteraceae. The record is from Rfam.
GCCUCGGUGGUGGAAUUGGUAGACGCAGCGGACUCAAAAUCCGCCGCCGCAAGGCGUGCCGGUUCGAUUCCGGCCCGGGGCA